This 457-nucleotide ribosomal RNA is filed under the name uncultured bacterium. RNAcentral describes it as "partial 16S ribosomal RNA". It matches the Rfam family "Bacterial small subunit ribosomal RNA", at positions 28 to 523 of the family's 1533-position model. The record is from RNAcentral.
GAUGAACGCUGGCGGCGUGCCUAAUACAUGCAAGUCGAGCGGAAAGGCCCUUCGGGGUACUCGAGCGGCGGACGGCUGAGUAACGCGUAGGAACGUACCGCAAAGUGCGGGAUAACUGCUCGAAAGAGUAGCCAAUACCGCAUCUGCUCGUCGGAGUAAAGCUUCGGCUCUUUGGGAACGGCCUGCGUCCGAUUAGCUAGUUGGUGCGGUAAUUGCUCACCAAGGCGACGAUAGGUAGCUGGUCUGAGAGGAUGAUCAGCCAGACUGGGACUGAGACACGGCCCAGACUCCUACGGGAGGCAGCAGUAGGGAAUUUUCCACAAUGGGCGAAAGCCUGAUGGAGCAACGCCGCGUGCAGGAUGAAUGCCUUCGGGUUGUAAACUGCUUUUAUAGGUGAAGAAUAUGACGGUAACCUAUGAAUAAGGAUCGGCUAACUCCGUGCCAGCCGCCGCCGUAA